RNAcentral lists this ribosomal RNA (468 nucleotides) under uncultured bacterium. RNAcentral describes it as "partial 16S ribosomal RNA". It matches the Rfam family "Bacterial small subunit ribosomal RNA", at positions 28 to 507 of the family's 1533-position model. The record is from RNAcentral.
GACGAACGCUGGCGGCGUGCUUAACACAUGCAAGUCGAACGGAAAGGCCCUGCGUUUGUGGGGUGCUCGAGUGGCGAACGGGUGAGUAACACGUGAGUAACCUGCCCUUGACUUUGGGAUAACUUCAGGAAACUGGGGCUAAUAUCGGAUAGGAGCUCCUGCUGCAUGGUGGGGGUUGGAAAGUUUCGGCGGUUGGGGAUGGACUCGCGGCUUAUCAGCUUGUUGGUGGGGUAGUGGCUUACCAAGGCUUUGACGGGUAGGCGGCCUGAGAGGGUGACCGGCCACAUUGGGACUGAGAUACGGCCCAGACUCCUACGGGAGGCAGCAGUGGGGAAUAUUGCACAAUGGGCGGAAGCCUGAUGCAGCAACGCCGCGUGCGGGAUGACGGCCUUCGGGUUGUAAACCGCUUUCGCCUGUGACGAAGCGUGAGUGACGGUAAUGGGUAAAGAAGCACCGGCUAACUACGUG